Molecule: ribosomal RNA, 773 nt
Filed under: uncultured Neocallimastigales
Lineage: Eukaryota; Fungi; Neocallimastigomycota; Neocallimastigomycetes; Neocallimastigales
Description: partial large subunit ribosomal RNA
Rfam family: Eukaryotic large subunit ribosomal RNA
Source: RNAcentral
UAUCUCUGUAGAGUCUGCAUAUCAAUAAGCGGAGGAAAAGAAACUAACUAGGAUUCCCUCAGUAACGGCGAGUGAAGCGGGAAGAGCUCAAAUUUGAAAUCUUCAAGGUCCUACCUUGACGUAUUGUAGUUUAAAGAAGUGUUUUCUGUUGGAGUUUUGGUAAAAGUUCUUUGGAAUAGGACAUCAUAGAGGGUGAGAAUCCCGUAUUUGACCAUUAUUUUCAGCUUUGUGAUACACUUUCAACGAGUCGGAUUGUUUGGGAAUGCAGUCCAAAAUGGGUGGUAAAUUUCAUCUAAAGCUAAAUAUUGGCGAGAGACCGAUAGCGAACAAGUACCGUGAGGGAAAGAUGAAAAGAACUUUGAAAAGAGAGUUAAACAGUACGUGAAAUUGUCAAAAGGGAAGCGUUUGACACCAGUGUUGUCUUUCCGAAAAUCAAUUACGAAUGUUUUGUUUUUGAGAAGUUAUGACUUCAUCGGCUUGCUUCUUUCUUUACGAAACUUUCUUAAUGCACUUUUCGGUUAACAAGUCAACAUCAAUUUCUUUUGUUGUAAAAGGGUAUGAGGAAGGUGGCUUUCUUUUCGGAGAAAGUGUUUAUAGCCUUGUGCCUCUGCAAUCGGAGAGAUUGAGGUCUGCAGCGUAGAUCCUUCGGGGUUAGAUACAUUUGUGCUAAGUUAUAGCUUUUCAUAGACAACUUGUCGACUAUGUUUAGUCUUGUAGCUUACUCGCUUAUGCUAUUUUACCUACGCUUAGGAUGUUGAUGUGAUACUGCGAGC